CGGCGGCGGCCACGACGGGAGUCCCAGCAGAGCGGAGUCCCGCGGAGCAGAGGCGCAUCCCGGCUUUCCGGUCCCAGGCGGCGUGGCCCGCGGGUCAUGGCCAAGGGAGAGGGCUCCGAGAGCGGCUCCGCGGCGGGGCUGCUGCCCACCGGCAUCCUCCAAGCCGCUGAACGGCCGGCCCAGGUGAAGAAGGAACCAAAGAAGAAACAACAGUUGUCCAUUUGCAACAAGCUUUGCUAUGCAGUUGGGGGGGCCCCCUACCAGGUGACGGGCUGUGCCCUGGGGUUCUUCCUGCAGAUCUACCUGUUGGAUGUGGCUCAGGUAGACCCUUUCUCUGCCUCCAUCAUCCUAUUUGUGGGCCGAGCUUGGGAUGCCUUCACAGACCCCCUCGUGGGCUUCUGCAUUAGCAAAUCUUCCUGGACCCGCCUGGGCCGCCUCAUGCCCUGGAUCAUCUUCUCCACACCCCUGGCCAUUAUUGCUUACUUCCUCAUCUGGUUCGUGCCUGACUUCCCACAGGGCCAGGCCCUGUGGUACCUGCUUUUCUAUUGCCUGUUUGAGACACUGGUCACGUGUUUCCACGUUCCCUACUCAGCUCUCACGAUGUUCAUCAGCACAGAGCAGAGUGAGCGGGAUUCUGCCACUGCGUAUCGAAUGACCGUGGAGGUACUGGGCACCGUGCUGGGCACAGCGAUCCAGGGGCAAAUCGUGGGCCAAGCGGAUACGCCUUGCCUCCAGGACCCCAAUGGUUCUGCACUGGCUUCGGAAGGUACCAAUCACACACAGAGCGCCACCUCACUCAAAGAAACGCAAAAUGCAUACCUGCUGGCGGCAGGAGUUAUUGCCUCCAUCUAUGUCAUCUGUGCUGUCAUCCUCACCCUGGGCGUGCGGGAGCAGAGAGAACCCUAUGAGACUCAGCAGGCUGAGCCGAUGUCCUUUUUUCGGGGCCUCCGACUGGUCAUGAGCCAUGGCCCAUAUGUCAAACUUAUUGCUGGCUUCCUCUUCACCUCCCUGGCUUUCAUGCUGGUGGAGGGGAACUUCGCCUUGUUUUGCACCUACACCUUGGGCUUCCGAAAUGAAUUCCAGAAUCUGCUCCUGGCCAUCAUGCUCUCGGCCACAUUCACCAUUCCCAUCUGGCAGUGGUUCCUAACCCGAUUUGGCAAGAAGACAGCAGUAUACAUUGGGAUUUCAUCAGCAGUGCCAUUUCUUAUCUUGGUGGCCUUCAUGAAGAGUAAUCUGAUUAUCACAUACGUGGUAGCCGUGGCAGCCGGCAUCAGUGUAGCAGCGGCCUUCUUACUACCCUGGUCCAUGCUGCCUGAUGUCAUUGACGACUUCCACUUGAAGCAGCCCCAGUCUCAUGGAACCGAGCCCAUCUUCUUCUCCUUCUACGUCUUCUUCACCAAGUUUGCCUCUGGAGUCUCAUUGGGCAUCUCCACCCUCAGUCUUGACUUUGCCGGGUACCAGACCCGUGGCUGCUCGCAGCCGGCACGUGUCAAGUUCACACUGAAGAUGCUGGUGACCAUAGCCCCCAUAGUCCUCAUCCUGCUAGGCCUGCUGCUCUUCAAGCUGUACCCCAUUGAUGAGGAGAAGCGGCGGCAGAACAAGAAGGACUUGCAGGCUCUGAGGGAAGAGGCCAGCAGCUCUGGCUGCUCUGACACAGACUCUACAGAGCUGGCCAGAAUCCUCUAGGGUCUGCUGUGUUGCCCGAAGCCACCAUCCACAGUGCCUGGGUCCCGGACCACAGAAGAAAUCAGGACCUACUUGCCUGAUCGCUGAAUACCUGGUCUCCAGGUGCCAGGAAGGGAGCCAAAGACUUCAAGACCACUUUGCCCUGACCCCUUCUGUGCCAAGACGCAGAUGGUGAGAGGGAACACUAAGCUGCAGGUGCCCCGGCGGGGAAGAAUGUGUCUGGAGGUGUGACAACAGCAUCGGCUAACAUUUACUAAACCCCUAUCUGUACCAGGCACGGUGUGGAGGCUUUACAUUCACUUUGUUGGUGUUCACACUCAAUCCUUGAAGCUGUCUUGCUAUGUCAGGACUAUUCCACUUUAAAGAGAAGAAAACUGAGCUCCAGUAUAGAGAAGGACGUGGCUAAGGUCACAUGGCCAAGAGUUACCGUACUGAAAUAUCAUCCCGGGUCUGUGAGACUCCGGGACCUUAACCACCACUCUCCACUCCCCUGUGUCUGAGAGCGACCUGCUGGCUGUCAGACAGACAGGCUGCUCUGCCCAGGCCUGUGCCCUGUGCCUUCUGCUCUGUGCCUGCCUGAGCAUGUGUAGCUGGCACAUAUCCUAUGUGCUUGGGGCUGUGUGGGGUCCCGAGACCUGUGAUUCUUUCCCCGUAGCUGUUAAUGAUGGUGUUGGAAAGUGAGACUGUAGCUGGCUGGGUUCGUGUGUCGGUUGAGGAAGGGUUCUCCCCAUAGGUGUGCUGGUAAAAAACCACCUCUGGUGGGGAGGAGGCUGCUGGGGAAGACCUGGUUUAUAGCGCUUGUCUGUUUCCAUGGUGUAAAUGCUCUUGCUGUAGCCAAUUUCAGGUUACCUACCAAUGGAUGUACUAACAGAAGUUCCCAAAAAUUUAACAGUCAGCUCUCUAGGAGCUUGCCCCCCAGCACAUCACUGGGUCUCAUACACUUAGGCCAAGCUGGCAGGAUCAGGGGUACCGGUCCAGCUUCUCUAUUUUAUAGAUGGAUAAAUGCAGGCCAGAGAAGAGAAGUGUGUGCUCUAUUCAGGCUUGGUUUUUACUUUGGGUCUAGGGCUCCAUUUUCGGAGGGAGCAGGGGAGGCUCCAUUUUUGCUCUGAAGUUCUGCCAAGCCACUUUCAUAAAUUUAUCAAGUGUUACUAACAGGCACAACCAGAUGCAUAAUUUCUCUGUGAGGUGAGUCCAUUAUUAUUCCCAGUUUACGGAUAAGGAAGCUGAGGCACAGAAAAGUAACUUGUCCGAGGUCAUCAGACAGAGGAGACGAUGUUUGAAUCCAUUCUGUCUGGCUAUAAGGCCAGUGCUCUCACCCACUACUUUAGGCCAUUGUGUGAACCAAGAGUCUAGUCACCGCCAAGCCAGGUCCUGCUGCCUUUAGAGCUGCCAUCUCAGGGUCAGGCUUCCUGGGCAGGCCAGGGGCCCUGGGCUCUGGGUUGGCCUUUGUAGUUGGAGUGCUCAGGGACUCAGAUAAUGUUUGCAGAAACCCACUCCUACCUCCCCUCUCCCUGUACUCCCAACACCCACCAAAUCCUGUCUUUAAAAAAAUAAAAAUUAUUUUAAACUUCCUAAACCACUCAAGCUUGCUUCUUUCCCA
Lynx canadensis (Canada lynx) is the source of this 3286-nucleotide RNA transcript. It is a transcript of the gene named major facilitator superfamily domain containing 2A, with no coding region annotated. The transcript is spliced from 15 exons. Lineage: Eukaryota; Metazoa; Chordata; Mammalia; Carnivora; Felidae. The record is from RefSeq and is a predicted model, not a curated record.